Protopterus annectens (West African lungfish) is the source of this 304-nucleotide long non-coding RNA. RefSeq lists it as uncharacterized. The record is from RefSeq and is a predicted model, not a curated record. NCBI's taxonomy places the organism in Eukaryota, Metazoa, Chordata, Ceratodontiformes, Protopteridae. The transcript is spliced from 3 exons.
CACUCUACUUUCAGAUGAAGUGAUGAAACUAGCAUAAUAUUUAUGGAUACCUGCAUAUACUCUAUAAGGUUAUUGAGAGAACAGCAACGGCAUCACCAAGAAUGGAAGACAUAGUACAGCAACACAGUCCUGAAAGAAUUACUAAAGGCGAGCUAAACCCAGAUCUUUGUCCCACCGACUAUCCAACAGUAUUAGCAUUCAGGAAAGAGAUGGCAAAAGAAAGAAUACAGAAAGCAUUGGGAGUAAGCCAGAUCAUAGGAGGACUAUCAAACACUGCUCUGGGUUGCUUGUUGGGAGCUAUCCC